GGGUACAACCAUGCCAGGCCGAAUGCGCCAUAUCCCGUCCGAUUUGUGAAGUCAAGCGGCCACAGGGCCAUUCAGUACGGUGGUGAGUGCUGGCGCUGGAACCCGGGGCGCCGUACCCU
Molecule: ribosomal RNA, 119 nt
Filed under: Trypanosoma theileri
Lineage: Eukaryota; Euglenozoa; Kinetoplastea; Trypanosomatida; Trypanosomatidae
Source: RNAcentral